AAAAGUAAAAGGCAACUUUAACUUUAUGCAAUCACAAGAAGUCAGCAGAGCUCAUAGUACUUUCACCCGCCAAAAUUCUUCUAAAAGAAAUUUAAGCGGGCAAGAGAGGAAGGAG
Non-coding RNA from Parcubacteria group bacterium CG1_02_37_13, 115 nucleotides. The record is from Rfam.